RNAcentral lists this ribosomal RNA (455 nucleotides) under uncultured Bacteroidota bacterium. RNAcentral's name for it is "bacterial SSU rRNA". It matches the Rfam family "Bacterial small subunit ribosomal RNA", at positions 66 to 507 of the family's 1533-position model. The record is from RNAcentral. Lineage: Bacteria; Pseudomonadati; Bacteroidota.
GGGGCGAUCGGAGGGAAGGCUUGCUUCCUUCGCCGGCGACCGGCGCACGGGUGAGUAACACGUAUGCAACCUCGCCCUCUUCACGGGGGACGAACCUUCCGAAGGGAGGCGUAAUCCGCGUAUAUCGGUUCGGGUCGAUCCGAGAUCGAGGAAAGAUUCAUCGGAAGAGGAUGGGCAUGCGGCGCAUUAGCUUGACGGCGGGGUAACGGCCCACCGUGGCGACGAUGCGUAGGGGUUCUGAGAGGAAGGUCCCCCACACUGGUACUGAGACACGGACCAGACUCCUACGGGAGGCGGCAGUGAGGAAUAUUGGUCAAUGGGAGAGAUCCUGAACCGGCCAAGCCGCGUGAGGGAAGACGGCCCUAUGGGUUGUAAACCUCUUUUGUCGGAGAACAAAACCCGGGACGUGUCCCGGACUGCGUGUAUCCGAAGAAAAAGCAUCGGCUAACUCCGUG